Anolis sagrei ordinatus is the source of this 158-nucleotide non-coding RNA. NCBI's taxonomy places the organism in Eukaryota, Metazoa, Chordata, Lepidosauria, Squamata, Anolidae. The record is from RefSeq and is a predicted model, not a curated record.
UCAGGAAGUUCUGUGAGGACUGUUUUUCAUGCUGCCGGAGGAGGAGAAGUAAUCGAGUGGCUCCAGCCAGUGAACCAGAAGAAACAAAAGUAUCCUCCUCCGAGGACUCCUGGGAUUUGGAGACUUGGCGUUUCUGGAGGGUAUCAGCCCCGCAGACC